UGCUAAUCUGCGAUAAGCGCCGGUAAGGUGAUAUGAACCGUUAUAACCGGCGAUACCCGAAUGGGGAAACCCAGUGUGACUCGUCACACUAUCAUUAACUGAAUCCAUAGGUUAAUGAGGCGAACCGGGGGAACUGAAACAUCUAAGUACCCCGAGGAAAAGAAAUCAACCGAGAUUCCCCCAGUAGCGGCGAGCGAACGGGGAGGAGCCCAGAGCCUGAAUCAGCAUGUGUGUUAGUGGAAGCGUCUGGAAAGGCGCGCGAUACAGGGUGACAGCCCCGUACACAAAAGCGCAUGUGCUGUGAGCUCGAUGAGUAGGGCGGGACACGUGGUAUCCUGUCUGAAUAUGGGGGGACCAUCCUCCAAGGCUAAAUACUCCUGACUGACCGAUAGUGAACCAGUACCGUGAGGGAAAGGCGAAAAGAACCCCGGCGAGGGGAGUGAAAAAGAACCUGAAACCGUGUACGUACAAGCAGUGGGAGCACCCUUUGGGUGUGACUGCGUACCUUUUGUAUAAUGGGUCAGCGACUUAUAUUCUGUAGCAAGGUUAACCGAAUAGGGGAGCCGGAGGGAAACCGAGUCUUAAUUGGGCGUUAAGUUGCAGGGUAUAGACCCGAAACCCGGUGAUCUAGCCAUGGGCAGGUUGAAGGUUGGGUAACACUAACUGGAGGACCGAACCGACUAAUGUUGAAAAAUUAGCGGAUGACCUGUGGCUGGGGGUGAAAGGCCAAUCAAACCGGGAGAUAGCUGGUUCUCCCCGAAAGCUAUUUAGGUAGCGCCUCGUGAAUUCAUCUCCGGGGGUAGAGCACUGUUUCGGCUAGGGGGCCAUCCCGGCUUACCAACCCGAUGCAAACUGCGAAUACCGGAGAAUGUUAUCACGGGAGACACACGGCGGGUGCUAACGUCCGUCGUGAAGAGGGAAACAACCCAGACCGCCAGCUAAGGUCCCAAAGUCAUGGUUAAGUGGGAAACGAUGUGGGAAGGCCCAGACAGCCAGGAUGUUGGCUUAGAAGCAGCCAUCAUUUAAAGAAAGCGUAAUAGCUCACUGGUCGAGUCGGCCUGCGCGGAAGAUGUAACGGGGCUAAACCAUGCACCGAAGCUGCGGCAGCGACACUGUGUGUUGUUGGGUAGGGGAGCGUUCUGUAAGCCUGUGAAGGUGUGUCGUGAGGCAUGCUGGAGGUAUCAGAAGUGCGAAUGCUGACAUAAGUAACGAUAAAGCGGGUGAAAAGCCCGCUCGCCGGAAGACCAAGGGUUCCUGUCCAACGUUAAUCGGGGCAGGGUGAGUCGACCCCUAAGGCGAGGCCGAAAGGCGUAGUCGAUGGGAAACGGGUUAAUAUUCCCGUACUUGGUGUUACUGCGAAGGGGGGACGGAGAAGGCUAUGUUGGCCGGGCGACGGUUGUCCCGGUUUAAGCGUGUAGGUGUGUGUUCCAGGUAAAUCCGGUUCACUUUAACACUGAGGCGUGACGACGAGGCACUACGGUGCUGAAGCAACAAAUGCCCUGCUUCCAGGAAAAGCCUCUAAGCAUCAGGUAACAUCAAAUCGUACCCCAAACCGACACAGGUGGUCAGGUAGAGAAUACCAAGGCGCUUGAGAGAACUCGGGUGAAGGAACUAGGCAAAAUGGUGCCGUAACUUCGGGAGAAGGCACGCUGACACGUAGGUGAAGUGAUUUACUCAUGGAGCUGAAGUCAGUCGAAGAUACCAGCUGGCUGCAACUGUUUAUUAAAAACACAGCACUGUGCAAACACGAAAGUGGACGUAUACGGUGUGACGCCUGCCCGGUGCCGGAAGGUUAAUUGAUGGGGUCAGCGCAAGCGAAGCUCCUGAUCGAAGCCCCGGUAAACGGCGGCCGUAACUAUAACGGUCCUAAGGUAGCGAAAUUCCUUGUCGGGUAAGUUCCGACCUGCACGAAUGGCGUAAUGAUGGCCAGGCUGUCUCCACCCGAGACUCAGUGAAAUUGAACUCGCUGUGAAGAUGCAGUGUACCCGCGGCAAGACGGAAAGACCCCGUGAACCUUUACUAUAGCUUGACACUGAACAUUGAGCCUUGAUGUGUAGGAUAGGUGGGAGGCUUUGAAGUGUGGACGCCAGUCUGCAUGGAGCCGACCUUGAAAUACCACCCUUUAAUGUUUGAUGUUCUAACGUGGACCCGUUACCCGGGUUGCGGACAGUGUCUGGUGGGUAGUUUGACUGGGGCGGUCUCCUCCUAAAGAGUAACGGAGGAGCACGAAGGUUGGCUAAUCCUGGUCGGACAUCAGGAGGUUAGUGCAAUGGCAUAAGCCAGCUUGACUGCGAGCGUGACGGCGCGAGCAGGUGCGAAAGCAGGUCAUAGUGAUCCGGUGGUUCUGAAUGGAAGGGCCAUCGCUCAACGGAUAAAAGGUACUCCGGGGAUAACAGGCUGAUACCGCCCAAGAGUUCAUAUCGACGGCGGUGUUUGGCACCUCGAUGUCGGCUCAUCACAUCCUGGGGCUGAAGUAGGUCCCAAGGGUAUGGCUGUUCGCCAUUUAAAGUGGUACGCGAGCUGGGUUUAGAACGUCGUGAGACAGUUCGGUCCCUAUCUGCCGUGGGCGCUGGAGAACUGAGGGGGGCUGCUCCUAGUACGAGAGGACCGGAGUGGACGCAUCACUGGUGUUCGGGUUGUCAUGCCAAUGGCACUGCCCGGUAGCUAAAUGCGGAAGAGAUAAGUGCUGAAAGCAUCUAAGCACGAAACUUGCCCCGA
RNAcentral lists this ribosomal RNA (2718 nucleotides) under Salmonella enterica subsp. enterica serovar Enteritidis. Its description in RNAcentral is "partial 23S ribosomal RNA". It matches the Rfam family "Bacterial large subunit ribosomal RNA". The record is from RNAcentral. Lineage: Bacteria; Pseudomonadati; Pseudomonadota; Gammaproteobacteria; Enterobacterales; Enterobacteriaceae.